GUGGGAGGGGGCUUGCUCCCGAUGGCAGUGUGUCAGUCAGCAGAAAUAUCGACUGAACCACCGCUAUCGAGAGCAAGCUCCCUCCCAC
This 88-nucleotide unclassified non-coding RNA is filed under the name Pseudomonas antarctica. The record is from RNAcentral. Lineage: Bacteria; Pseudomonadati; Pseudomonadota; Gammaproteobacteria; Pseudomonadales; Pseudomonadaceae.